Molecule: ribosomal RNA, 492 nt
Filed under: uncultured bacterium
Lineage: Bacteria
Description: partial 16S ribosomal RNA
Rfam family: Bacterial small subunit ribosomal RNA
Source: RNAcentral
AGUGAACGCUGGCGGUAGGCCUAACACAUGCAAGUCGAACGGCAGCACAGUAAGAGCUUGCUCUUACGGGUGGCGAGUGGCGGACGGGUGAGGAAUACAUCGGAAUCUACUUUUUCGUGGGGGAUAACGUAGGGAAACUUACGCUAAUACCGCAUACGACCUACGGGUGAAAGCAGGGGAUCUUCGGACCUUGCGCGAUUGAAUGAGCCGAUGUCGGAUUAGCUAGUUGGCGGGGUAAAGGCCCACCAAGGCGACGAUCCGUAGCUGGUCUGAGAGGAUGAUCAGCCACACUGGAACUGAGACACGGUCCAGACUCCUACGGGAGGCAACAGUGGGGAAUAUUGGACAAUGGGCCCAAGCCUGAUCCAGCCAUACCGCGUGGGUGAAGAAGGCCUUCGGGUUGGUAAGCCCUUUUGUUGGGAAAGAAAAGCAGCAGGUUAAUACCCCGCUGUUCUGACGGUACCCAAAGAAUAAGCACCGGCUAACUUCGUG